GGGAGCCUGAGAAACGGCUACCACAUCCAAGGAUGGCAGCAGGCGCGCAAAUUACCCAAUCCCGACACGGGGAGGUAGUGACAAUAAAUAACAAUACGGGGUUCUUUCGGAUCUCGUAAUUGGAAUGAGUACAAUUUAAAUCUCUUAACGAGGAACAAUUGGAGGGCAAGUCUGGUGCCAGCAGCCGCGGUAAUUCCAGCUCCAAUAGUGUAUAUUAAAGUUGUUGCAGUUAAAAAGCUCGUAGUUGAAUUUCGGGGUUAGUAGGUUGGUCAUGCCUCUGGUAUGUACUGAUCUCACUGAUUCCUCCUUCCUUAUGAACCGUAAUGCCAUUAAUUUGGUGUUGCGGGGAAUUUGGACUGUUACUUUGAAAAAAUUAGAGUGUUUAAAGCAAGCUAACGCUUGAAUACAUUAGCAUGGAAUAAUGAAAUAGGACGUUCGAUCUUAUUUUGUUGGUUUCUAGGAUUGACGUAAUGAUUAAUAGGGAUAGUUGGGGGCAUUAGUAUUCAAUUGUCAGGGGUGAAAUUCUUGGAUUUAUUGAAGACUAACUACUGCGAAAGCAUUUGCCAAGGAUGUUUUCAUUAAUCAAGAACGAAAGUUAGGGGAUCGAAGACGAUCAGAUACCGUCGUAGUCUUAACCAUAAACUACGCCGACUAGGGAUCGGAUGAUGUUAAUUUUUUAAUGACUCAUUCGGCGCCUUACGGGAA
This 705-nucleotide ribosomal RNA is filed under the name uncultured fungus. Its description in RNAcentral is "SSU rRNA". It matches the Rfam family "Eukaryotic small subunit ribosomal RNA", at positions 390 to 1096 of the family's 1831-position model. Lineage: Eukaryota; Fungi. The record is from RNAcentral.